This 632-nucleotide long non-coding RNA is filed under the name Cricetulus griseus (Chinese hamster). RNAcentral describes it as "lncRNA (ENSCGRG00015036879.1)". Lineage: Eukaryota; Metazoa; Chordata; Mammalia; Rodentia; Cricetidae. The record is from RNAcentral.
GGGAGCAGGAGUUGCCCGACCUCUUCUGAAGGGAUGUCUUUCAGCCCUCAUUGAGCACAGUCUUCCGGCAGCGUCGGGAUGUGCCCAGCUGCCCCUAAUCAAAGGUGAAACACCACCAUUCCCAGAGUGUCUUUGGGUGACAUCCCAACUCCAUCCGUAGACGCCUCCCUCCCAUCUCCAUGGCUCCUGAACUACACGGAACCAAACCAUGCAAUUCAGCUGAGGAAAGAGAGAGAGAGAGAGAGAGAGAGAGAGAGAGGGCCGAUGGGGCCAUCUGGUCAACCUUACUUCCUCUCAGAAAACCUGGAUAUGGCGAGCCACCAGGCAGCAUCCCAAACAGGUGAAGGUCGUCGCUCUAUUCUGGACUCGAGUGAGCUGUUGUGUGUGUGCAGCUGGGAGGCUGUGGUGUGUUACAGCUCGGACUUUGUCGUCACUUACAUGAGAUCCAAUUGGGCCAGGGACUUCAGCUCUUAGAACUGGAAACAGAGUGAAGAUCCUAGGCCGGGCGUUGGUGGCGCAUGCCUUUAAUCCCAGCACUCGGGAGGCAGAGGCAGGUGGAUCUCUGUGAGUUCGAGGCCAGCCUGGUCUACAGAGCAAGAGCCAGGAUAGGCUCCAAAGCUACACAGAGAAAC